RNAcentral lists this ribosomal RNA (484 nucleotides) under uncultured bacterium. Its description in RNAcentral is "partial 16S ribosomal RNA". It matches the Rfam family "Bacterial small subunit ribosomal RNA", at positions 30 to 507 of the family's 1533-position model. The record is from RNAcentral.
AUUGAACGCUGGCGGCAGGCCUAACACAUGCAAGUCGAGCGGAUGAAGGGAGCUUUCUCCUGGAUUCAGCGGCGGACGGGUGAGUAAUUCCUAGGAAUCUGCCUUGUAGUUGGGGAUAACGUCCGUACACGGGCGCUAAUAUCGCAUACGUUCUUAGGUAGAAAGGGGUGGUUCUUCGGACCUCACGCUAUCAGAUGAGCCUAGGUCGGAUUAGCUAGUUGGUUGGGUAAAGGCCUACCAAGGCGACGAUCCGUAACUGGUCUGAGAGGAUGAUCAGUCACACUGGAACUGAGACACGGUCCAGACUCCUACGGGAGGCAGCAGUGGGGAAUAUUGGACAAUGGGCGAAAGCCUGAUCCAGCAAUGCCGCGUGUGUGAAGAAGGUCUUCGGAUUGUAAAGCACUCUAAGUUGGGAGGAAGAGAAGUAAGUUAAUACCUUGCUGUUUUGACGGUACCAAAAGAAUAAGCACCGGCUAACUUCGUG